Long non-coding RNA from Myotis brandtii (Brandt's bat), 645 nucleotides. RefSeq lists it as uncharacterized. The transcript is spliced from 4 exons. The record is from RefSeq and is a predicted model, not a curated record. NCBI's taxonomy places the organism in Eukaryota, Metazoa, Chordata, Mammalia, Chiroptera, Vespertilionidae.
UUGCAAUGUCUUCAUGUUCUUCAGCUUGAAAGAUCUGAUGAUGUGAGCCGAACAGAAGUCAGCAACAACCAUGUUUUGAUUUACCUAGAUAAGGUGACAAAUCAGACUCUGAGCUUGUCCUUCACGGUUCUCCAAGAUAUCCCAGUAAGAGAUCUCCAACCAGCCAUAGUGAAAGUCUACGAUUACUAUGAGACGGAUGAGUUUGCAAUUGCUGAGUACAAUGCUCCUUGCAGCAAAGAUCAAGGAAAUGAGUGAAGACUACGUCAAUGAAAAUGGCUUUGCUGGAGUUCCUGUUCCACAAACUGGGGUCUCCAUGGAAGAAAAUAGUUUUUGUAACUCUGAAGCUUAAUGAAUACACUGUUUUUUCUAGUCAAUCUUUAUCAUGGUAUCUUCAGUCAUUCAAUAAACAUUUAUUACAUUUCCAUAUUAAAUAAAAUUUAUGAAAUAGAAAUUUAUAGCAAUCAAGGGCUGAGCGACUUCAGAAAAUGAAGAAUGUUACAAUGUUGUUGGUCUGAGUAGGCUUCAUGUAGGUGUUACAGGGAAAAGAAGAAAAUAUUAAAUUAUGUACUAAAAUAGUGUAAAAUGUGUUUGGUCAUGGGAAUACCCUUCAAAAAGUCAAAGAGUGCAUUUUAUAAGAAAAGAAAA